AUGAGAGUUCUAGAAUGUGUGUUCCUCUUGACUCUCAUCUCAGCUAUUCAGGGGCAGUCACUCACCUCCUCUGAGCCAGUGAUGAAGAGACCUGGAGAGCCAGUAACACUGUCCUGUGCUGUGUCUGGAUUACAUGCACUGGAUCUCUACUACAUGCACUGGAUCCGUCAGAAACCAGGGAAAGGACUAGAGUGGAUUGGGCGUAUUGACACUGGCACUGGCACUAUAUUUGCCCAGUCCCUCCAGGGCCAGUUCACCAUCACCAAAGACAGCUCCAAAAAAGGUGAAAACACACAGUUCUUAGAGGCCAAGAGUCUGAGAUCAGAGGACUCUACUGUUUAUUAUUGUGCCUGA
Molecule: non-coding RNA, 354 nt
Organism: Salmo salar (Atlantic salmon)
Lineage: Eukaryota; Metazoa; Chordata; Actinopteri; Salmoniformes; Salmonidae
Source: the annotation of a RefSeq genome assembly